Panicum virgatum (switchgrass) is the source of this 907-nucleotide long non-coding RNA. RefSeq lists it as uncharacterized. The record is from RefSeq and is a predicted model, not a curated record. Lineage: Eukaryota; Viridiplantae; Streptophyta; Magnoliopsida; Poales; Poaceae. The transcript has 3 exons.
AAUGCUAAACCCUAUGUCAACUUUCUGAAAACUAAUGUAUUUGUAUGUAGGCAAUUGGCCAGAGAAUCAAAGAACCGUGAGCUUAGUGUUGAAUUCAUUGACACCCAGGAUUUCUCUGCCGGAGUGAUCAAUAAGGAUCCGCAGCACGUAGAGUCUGCCAUCACAAAGGUCUUGGGCUCUUCACCAUGUUGUGUGCUUGCCGCGCACCACACAGGCUCCCACUAUUUCCUAGCCGUCAUCUGUCCGAAGUGGAAAAUAGUGUGGUACAUAGACUCCUUAAGAUCACUCGGCGACGAUGGCAUCACUCUGGGACAACGAGACUUCACCAGCACCAAGGCGGUUAUUGAUAGGUAUAUCUCUGAGUUACCACAUUUGCAAUCUUCUUAUUUGGAGCCUGUCACCUAUUUAAUUUGCAGCUAACGACAUCCAUAACGCCUAAUGCAGUACUUUCCCCACCUUUCGAGCCGAGCACUGUCUUCCAAAAACCAAGUUGACGCACGUGACCGAUUUUUCGUGCAUGCAGCAAGGACCUGGAAAUGUAUGCGGGUUCUAUGUUGCAUACCACAUGAUCCGCCUUGCUACAAGUUUCAAAACCCUUAAAGAAUCAAAAGAUGUGCGGGGUCAUCCGGACAAGCAAUUGGACGACAAGCAGCUCUUGGGUAUUAGAGAAAAGCUUGCCUCCUUCUUGCUUCUAGAUGUCAUAAGCGACAAAGGUGACUUCCACUGUCACAGCUGAUGAACUGAUAAUUGUAUAUGUGUACUGUUAAUUCUUUCAUGGACCUACUCUCAAUUCAUGUGAUUAUUGUAUAUGUGUACUGUUAAUUUAUAGUGCAGAGAUACAAUAUAUAGUUUGUCAUGUACAGUUGGUGGUUGUUUUUUAUGUAAGCUUUGCGAGAUAUCAAUUGAG